This is a long non-coding RNA of Phyllopteryx taeniolatus (common seadragon), 751 nucleotides long. RefSeq lists it as uncharacterized. Lineage: Eukaryota; Metazoa; Chordata; Actinopteri; Syngnathiformes; Syngnathidae. The transcript has 2 exons. The record is from RefSeq and is a predicted model, not a curated record.
GGCCCACUUCCUGUUUCGUCACUCCUCCAACGUGUUUGUUCCCAAAAACAAAUCUAGCAACUACAAUCGUCGGUCGAGCGCUUUAAAAGACGCCGUUCAGUUAUUAUCCUGUGACUGCAGACAUGGGUCACAGGUGCAUUGACUGGUUUCGUAAGGGUCUGCGGCUGCACGACAACCCGGCGCUGAUGGCCGCUCUAACGGACUGCAAGGAACUCUGUUCAUCCUGGAUCCACAUCUCCACGACAAGACACGGGUGGGCAUCAACCGCUGGAGGCUCCUCCUGGGGUCACUCAGUGACUUGGAUUGCAAUAUAGAGUAGCAUCUGCUCCAUUUGCACACUGAUUGAGGAGUAUCUGCAACAUUUGCACAACCAACAUUGUCCCAGAUUAUCGCACUACUCGUCACUUUAAACUGCAUGCACGCCUUGAAGUCUCGGCGCCCUUUGCACAAUGGUCAUUGCACCGGACUAUUGCAAUAUUAGUCAUUCGAACUGCUCUAAGUGCUAGAGGACUCUGCAUCUUUUGCACAAUUGUACAAAAAUAAUAAUAAUAAUUUACCAGCAUUACCAGAUAACUAGCAACCCUUUACUGCUCAGUGACUUUUCUUUUUUUUGUCAAUGUCUUUAUGUCUCAAACGUGUUCUCUGUCAAUUGACUGUCUGCUGUCGUACUAGAGCGGCUCCAACUACCGGAGACAAAUUCCUCGUGUGUUUUUUGGACAUACUUGGCAAAUAAAGAUGAUUCUGAUUCUGA